Parasteatoda tepidariorum (common house spider) is the source of this 833-nucleotide long non-coding RNA. Lineage: Eukaryota; Metazoa; Arthropoda; Arachnida; Araneae; Theridiidae. The record is from RefSeq and is a predicted model, not a curated record.
ACGGAGAUAAUAAUACAAGUAUAGACGAGGUCCGAAUUACGCCAGACGUUCUUUCUCCACACACACAUGCAUCCAUUCAUCUGGGCACACUGCAGUACUACAUCUACCUCAAGACGGCGAGAUUUUCUUUUCAUUUAUUUAUUUUUUAUACCUCCCAAUCUCCAUCCAAACCCUCUUUCCGGGUCGAAAGAGUUGAAAUAAUGCUCCCACGGUUGGAGUAGCCAGCAUCUUAGAGUCAGGGGGGAGGGGGGAGAGAAAACUCAUAAAACCUUAUAGAAGAAAGUGACUUGGAAAUUAUUUUGAAUAAAUCGUUUGCAGAUUUCGAACACUAAAUUUGAGAUGCGUUUCUCUGGAGGAAUUGGGUCAUAUCUCCUUCGAAAUCUGGUAUUGUCACGUGUUUAACCUUCACCGCGAUGAGUGGGGAACGAACAUUCCUUCCCCCAAUUUUAUUUACAGGAGGGUGAAGUUAAGUUUUGAAAACUUUAAUGGAAUGUGUUGGUAACAGAUUUUGGCAGAUGUUUUAAAUUGGAACAUGUGUUUGAAGGACUGCCGUUUUAAGAAAGGUGUUUUCUAUUAAAUUUUAAAGAAUUGGAUGUGGAAAGGGGUGUUAUGCAUCAACGGGUUUUAUUCUGAGUUCGAAAUUUUAUUGAAAGAAGCUAAGAUUGAACGGGCAAUUUGGAGGAAAUAUCAAGGAACAAGCAGAAGGUGAUGGUAUUCAUACAGAUCUUAAACAAGGAUUUAAAAACGCAUUUCAAAAUUAUGUAUUUAAGAAACCGUGUGGGUAAUUAGAAAGAGUAGAAACUUUGCUAAAAAAUUGCAAAGGUAUGGAAAAA